GUCUGCGUAUGCGCUUGCGCCGGCCUAGCGGCCUGCGGCCAGGACCGCCCACGCGAGGCUUUUUCUGCGCUUGCUCCACCUCCGCACGCAGCUGGCCGCCCGGGGUUGUCCGCGCGUGUUCGUCGCUCUGAAAGUCCCAUCCGCUGCUUGUCCUCGAGUCCUGGGGUGUGAGGAAGCGAAAAGGGACUGGGCGAGCGGUGGGAUACCUCUUCGGUGAAGGGUAUAAGAAGAAGUUAGCAGUCUACAAGCCAGAAAAAAAAUUUCUCACCCGGACUCAACCAUACUGGUACCCUGAUCUUGGAUUUCCAGUCUCCAGAAAUGACAAACAUCUGGGUUCAUUUGGAAAGGAAGUCCAUCAAUCAUACUGCACAGUGGAAUUUAGAAAGUGCUAAAGACACAAAGUGAAGAAGUUUCCUAAGAGAAUAUAGAGGGAAGAACAUCACUCUACUGUUACCAAAAUCUCUAUUUGUGAUAAGGAAAUGAAGACAAUUGCUAUGUCCUGCUCGCUGCUUGCCGCUUGCAGUGGGGAGUGACUCCAGGACCCUGCUUCACACAGCCCUGGGGUCCUUCCCAUGAAGCUUGGUCCAACAGAGAAGCGAGCACCCAAAGGAAGUCCAUGCACAUCCUGAGCGGUGGACAAAAGCCAAGACUUGACAGGUUUACAAAUAAGAAAACCAUGGCACAGAAAAUUUAUGGUAUUUCCCAAGGAAGAUUCAACAGUCUAAAAUCCUUGUCUAUAUUAAAAAGCAGGAAAAGCUCUGAGUCAAAUUAUAACAUCUGUGCUAUCUCCAAGUUACUGAAAGUUCCAGAAGGGCACCACAUUUUUCUGGAGAAACAAAGGUACAUGAUCAUAAAGGUUUCCUGGCAGACCCCAAAAGACUCCUGAACCUAUUGAUCACAAGAACAGCGUUGCUCUCGUUUAUCACUUGGAGGAGAAAGAAGAACCGGAAAGGAACCAGUUAUUUACUAGAAGAGUAUUUUUGCCUGCACUUCCUACUGAUGGAACAUAAAGUGACACGCCUGACAUGGGAGACAGAUGCCUGCGUGUGGAAUGCCUGCUUGCAUUCCCCAUCUUCAUCCCCUAGAGACUCACCUGUGCUUUCAAUAGUUCCACACAUUUACGCAAUUUUCCAA
Long non-coding RNA from Phacochoerus africanus (Common warthog), 1134 nucleotides. RefSeq lists it as uncharacterized. The transcript has 7 exons. The record is from RefSeq and is a predicted model, not a curated record. NCBI's taxonomy places the organism in Eukaryota, Metazoa, Chordata, Mammalia, Artiodactyla, Suidae.